CCCUGGCUCUGUUGUUGAUCAAUGUGUCUUCUCCAGCUUCUGCCAUCCAUUGUAUCGACUCUGUACGAAUGGGGCCCCGUUACCUGUACCACCGUUGCCAGUACCCAUAGCGGUUCCACUGUUAAAUUUUUAGCAUAGACUGAAUCACCUGUUUGGAACGUCCGGCAUUUGCUGGAUGAAUCUAGUG
Non-coding RNA from Pseudonaja textilis, 187 nucleotides. Lineage: Eukaryota; Metazoa; Chordata; Lepidosauria; Squamata; Elapidae. The record is from RefSeq and is a predicted model, not a curated record.